Molecule: ribosomal RNA, 488 nt
Filed under: uncultured bacterium
Lineage: Bacteria
Description: partial 16S ribosomal RNA
Rfam family: Bacterial small subunit ribosomal RNA
Source: RNAcentral
GACGAACGCUGGCGGCGUGCUUAACACAUGCAAGUCGAACGCGCCUGUCCUCUGGGUUUCUGGGGGGUGGGUGAGUGGCGAACGGGUGAGUAACACGUGAGUAACCUGCCCCCUUCUUCGGGAUAACGGUCUGAAAGGGCUGCUAAUACCGGGUAUUCACUGGUCUCCGCAUGGGGUCUGGUGGAAAGGUUUUUUUCUGGUGGGGGAUGGGCUCGCGGCCUAUCAGCUUGUUGGUGGGGGGAUGGCCCACCCAGGCUUUGACGGGUAGCCGGCCUGAGAGGGUGAACGGUCACAUUGGGACUGAGAUACGGCCCAGACUAGUACGGGGGGCAGCAGUGGGGACUAUUGCACAAUGGGCGCAAGACUGAUGCAGCGAGGGCGAGUGAGGGAUGGAGGCCGUCGGGUUGUGAACCUCUUUCGCAAGUGGUCAAGCCGCGACGUGGGUCGUGGUGAGGGUAGUGGGUAAAGAAGCGCCGGCUAACUACGUG